UACCAGCUCUCCGAGUGGUAGGGAUGAUUAUUGGGCUUAAAGCGUCCGUAGCCGGCUUAGCAAGUCUCCUGUUAAAUUCAGCGACCUAAUCGUUGAGCCGCGGGAGAUACUACUAGGCUAGGAGGCGGGGAGAGGUCAACGGUACUUCCGGGGUAGGGGUGAAAUCCUAUAAUCCCGGGAGGACCACCAGUGGCGAAGGCUGUUGACUAGAACGCGCUCGACGGUGAGGGACGAAAGCUGGGGGAGCGAACCGGAUUAGAUACCCGGGUAGUCCCAGCUGUAAACGAUGCGAGCUAGGUGUUGGGGUGGCUACGUGCCACUUCAGUGCCGCGAGGGAAGCCAUUAAGCUCGCCGCCGUGGGGAGUACGGCCGCAAGGCGUGAAACUUAAAGGAAUUGGGCGGGGGAGCCACCACGAAGGCGUGAAGCUUGGCGGUUC
RNAcentral lists this ribosomal RNA (437 nucleotides) under uncultured archaeon. Its description in RNAcentral is "bacterial SSU rRNA". It matches the Rfam family "Archaeal small subunit ribosomal RNA", at positions 474 to 904 of the family's 1478-position model. The record is from RNAcentral.